Impatiens glandulifera is the source of this 468-nucleotide long non-coding RNA. RefSeq lists it as uncharacterized. NCBI's taxonomy places the organism in Eukaryota, Viridiplantae, Streptophyta, Magnoliopsida, Ericales, Balsaminaceae. The transcript is spliced from 2 exons. The record is from RefSeq and is a predicted model, not a curated record.
UACCAAUUAUUAUCCCAUAUCAGUUAGAGUUAGGGUUUAGAAGUAGUGAUAAUACUACCCUGGAAGACGACUCCAUCGCCUUAUACGAAGACCUUUCGAUCGCCUAACAAGUAUCUGACCUCGCACCGUUUCUCCAUCUCUCAAAGGUUCUGUCCAGAUUGAGGGUCAACUGCGUCUUCAGCCAAACUUUGCUUCAACAACUCUGUCUUCAAAGCUAAUUGGUGGGGAAAAUGAGUUCCUUGCUUCUAUGAUGGUUGAUGUUUUUCUUGCAAUUGGCAAUGAUGAUAGGCUAAAUAUGAUUGGAAUCAAGAAGGUAUACCUCUAAAACAUUAAAAUUAGAUUCAACAUAAUGUGGUUGUAUAAUUGUUUCUAAUAAGUCGUUCAAACUUGAUAAAUUUAUGUUGUUUGCAAUAAUAAUGAUAUUGUAGUCUCCUUUCAUCCUUUAAUUGGCAACUUUGCCUUUUCUCU